AAAUGGAGACCUGUAUGAAUGGCACGACGAGGGCUUAACUGUCUCCUUUCCUCAAGUAAAUGAAAUUGAUCUCUCCGUGCAGAAGCGGAGAUAANNCCAUAAGACGAGAAGACCCUAUGGAGCUUCAGACACUAAAACAGCUCAUGUUAAAACCCCUCACUAAAAGAGACUAAACUAGAUGACCCCUGUCCUAAUGUCUUUGGUUGGGGCGACCACGGGGUAACAAAAAACCCCCGCGCGGAACAGAAACACUGUUUCUACAACCAAGAGCACCNGCUCUAAGUAACAAGACCUACUUGACCUUUGAGAUCCGGCGUGAGCCGAUCAACGGACCGAGUUACCCUAGGGAUAACAGCGCAAUCCC
This 364-nucleotide ribosomal RNA is filed under the name Scarus hoefleri (Guinean parrotfish). RNAcentral's name for it is "partial 16S ribosomal RNA". It matches the Rfam family "Bacterial large subunit ribosomal RNA", at positions 1978 to 2489 of the family's 2925-position model. Lineage: Eukaryota; Metazoa; Chordata; Actinopteri; Labriformes; Labridae. The record is from RNAcentral.